GAUUUUUCCCAGCAAAAUAUGCAUUUUAUGUAAUAAUAAUAAUUAAAAAUAAGAUCCUAGGUCAAGAGAUUGGAAAAUUCCAAAAGUGCAUAACAUUGUUUGACAAUUUCGUAACACAUCUUCCUGACACGUUACGCGUAUACACAUUUUAGCAUCGUUAAAGUGGAGCAGGAACAUUGUUGUGUACAUAAACUAUAAUGGAUGUUCUAUGCGUGUGGUUUAAGAGUAAUUUCACAAAGUUUGGUCUUAGGAUCAAUAUAAUCACAUAUAUUCAAUCUCUCUUAAAGAGCUAACGUGAAACCAUAUUUACUCUCACACGGUUCUGGAAAAUUAAACUAAAAAAAAAAAAUUACCAUCAUCUCAAAAGUUGGAAAGUUUAUGUUACAUAAAUAGAUACACAAAAUAAACGAGGUAAUCUUUUAUGGUUUGCAUUUAACAUAUUGAAGACAAAAGUGAACAGCUGCAACAACAACGUUUCAUAAAUUUAAUUAUAAUUUCCGCUAUACAUAGAUUAGUGAAUUUUGUGCAAAAUUUCAAUUAUAGUGACAAUUUUUUUUUUAUAUUUUUGAAAAAUUUAUAAAGAUAUACGUUAUGCAGAAGAUAAUUCCUCUCGACAUAAAUAAAUCACUGUCACUAAUGACAAAAAAUAGAACUACAAUAAGCAAAUGGGAUUGGUACACUGCGUGUUAAAUAAAUGGAUUUCGUAAAAAGUUUUUAAUUUCACAAAUUGUCCUUUAAGCUCUUAUUGUCAUUAUAUAAUUGUUCAAUGCGAUAGUUUCUUGCUUUCGAGAUUAUCCUUUUGAGAUGUAUUGGACAAUUGAAAGGAUCAUCAUUAUCACAGGAUAAAGGAUUAGGACAAGUAAUCCAAACAAAGAAAUGACAGUUAAUAAUUUCUCGGAAUUCAAAAUAUUGAAAAGUAUGGCAAAUUUCAAACGAUAAUCAUCAGUGGGUGAUGCAUUAACCUCAAGUAAUCAAGGCGUCAAAUUUUCAUCCAAAAUUAUAUCGUAACCGUAGAGCUCAAAGGAAUUGUUUUCCUGCAUCAUUACCGGUUGGACUGCUUGCAAGCUUGCCAUUAUAACGCCUACGCUGGAAAAGGAAAUUAAUGUUCAAGAGAAACAAAAUUUAUUGAUAAUGAGUGUUUUUGGAAUUUUUCAAAGAAAAAGAAAUUUUUAUUUAUAACAGAUAAUUAUUUUCGGCUUUUCGAAAUAAAAAAAAAAAAGGAAUUAUUUUGGAGUGUUAGUGCCAUUAAAAGGACCUUGAGAAAAGUUGCAAAUUCUUAUAUAAAUAAUAAAGGGUAAAGUUCUAAUCGA
Leptopilina boulardi is the source of this 1310-nucleotide long non-coding RNA. RefSeq lists it as uncharacterized. NCBI's taxonomy places the organism in Eukaryota, Metazoa, Arthropoda, Insecta, Hymenoptera, Figitidae. The transcript is spliced from 2 exons. The record is from RefSeq and is a predicted model, not a curated record.